UGCCAUUUACAGCACGACACAAGGAAAAUAACCAACCGUUAGACAAUGGUGCCGGGCAGACGUCGUCAAUCAAAGCUCAAGAAUCUUAGUUGAAAUUUCGUAAAAUUUUUAACUUUUUCUACUUCAGAAUUGUUUUCUUCUUACUUCAACACGAAGAAUCAAGUUCAUUUCCACCCAUUUUGAAGACUGCUUCCAAUUUCUCUUCAUCUAGCUGCGGUCUGCACCUUGUUCAGCUAUUGGGAUUGGUUUUAUUUUUUCAUCAAUAUUUGCAGAGAGCUUGAACAACUGAAAGCACAGACAUGGGUUAUAAAAGAAAGGCUGAGAAAGACGUAAGAACUGAAGAUGGUGAAAGCAGUAAUUCGUCUAAGAAAACAAAGUUGGAUGAUCAGGAUGUCAAAAACCUUAUCCUUGUUUAGUCGAAGAUUCAGUUGUGCAUGAAGUCAAAGUGAGAUCAAUUGAAAUCACCAAGGUUAGGAAAGAUAAAACUCAAGAGCCCGAUACCUCGACUUCACCAAACAAACUUGAUACAGAACAGCAGAUAGAAGAAUUGGAGUUGAACGGUUGUGCAAAUGUUUUUUAUGGGAAUGACUCAACCCAAGAAUAUGGCUGGACAUGCUGGCAUAAAGCCAUCAAACUGCGAGAAACCAACAACAUUCCUAAAACUAUGUUAGUACAAUCUGCAAAGGAAAAAGUUGCUUUCAAGAACCGUUCAGAAUUACAAACCUUGAAAGAAUUGCAAGAACUUUUUGGUGAUAGCCGACGAAGAUGGAAGAUUCAGGUGUUCUUUAUCGCCCAACGUAUUUCGAAGAAAAAUGGAUGGCAGUUUGCUCUUCGUAAUUGGAAGAAACGGCAAGUGACUCGUCACAGUGCUAUUGCCAUGUCGCUUUACCUGUUUGCAUUAUUCGGAACUGAAGAUUUUCUGCAACGACUGGUACUGAAUCCAACAGGAUCGCAAGAUGUGGUCCACUUAACGUUCACCGAAUUCUUCAACACCCUGAGGGACCCACAACGGAAUCAAACCAAACCGGAUGCAGUUUUGACAUUCGACCAUUGGAUCACUUCCCUUGAUUUCUCUUUCGCAUAUCAAGUAAAAGUUCGCGAUUAUGCUCCAUUGCUCCUAUUGAAGAAAUAGAAAUGAACCCAAGUAUUCAUAUCAAAUCGAAAUCCGUAAAGCUCGAAGAAAUCUCUGAAGUGAUUAUUCUUAUUCUCGAACUGCUGUCGUCGAUUGCAAAAUCGGAAGCUGAAAAUAAAGAUUGAAGAAACUACUAGAAAACUACUUUAUAGACAAUGGGAACGAGCGGAUCAAUGCCAACUGCAAGGGAAAAUGUUUUUCGUUCGUUAUCUGGAAUCGCUGCUAAAGUAGCUUGAAGGUAUCAAAUCCUUUGUUAAUGUUAACCUGUUACGCUUAAGUCUAUGGUUUUGCAACACUAGUUCGUUUCGAUACUGCUAAAAUUGAAUUGUUUUCCAGUUGGAUUCAGUACCAGUCGUUGCAAAAAAUCUUCAGUUCCGAAUAAUGCAAACAGGUAAAGCGACAUGGCAAUAGCACUGUGACGAGUCACUUGCCGUUUCUUCCAAUUACGAAGAGCAAACUGCCAUCCAUUUUUCUUCGAAAUACGUUGGGCGAUAAAGAACACCUGAAUCUUCCAUCUUCGUCGGCUAUCACCAAAAAGUUCUUGCAAUUCUUUCAAGGUUUGUAAUUCUGAACGGUUCUUGAAAGCAACUUUUUCCUUUGCAGAUUGUACUAACAUAGUUUUAGGAAUGUUGUUGGUUUCUCGCAGUUUGAUGGCUUUAUGCCAGCAUGUCCAGCCAUAUUCUUGGGUUGAGUCAUUCCCAUAAAAAACAUUUGCACAACCGUUCAACUCCAAUUCUUCUAUCUGCUGUUCUGUAUCAAGUUUGUUUGGUGAAGUCGAGGUAUCGGGCUCUUGAGUUUUAUCUUUCCUAACCUUGGUGAUUUCAAUUGAUCUCACUUUGACUUCAUGCACAACUGAAUCUUCGACUAAACAAGGUUAAGGUUUUUGACAUCCUGAUCUUCCAACUUUGUUUUCUUAGACGAAUUACUGCUUUCACCAUCUUCAGUUCUUACGUCUUUCUCAGCCUUUCUUUUAUAACCCAUGUCUGUGCUUUCAGUUGUUCAAUCUCUCUGUAGUGUAUAAGAAAUAAAUAUCUUCUUAUGCUACUCGUGCUGAAUCGUUCACUUCGAUCGUUCGAGUUAUCUUGGAUGGAAGAUUCCGUGAGGAUCAAGUUCACCUGGACGGGAAAACAGCGUUAGAAGCUAUCAUGACACUCGUUCUCGAGAAUCCAAACGCACAUUUAUGCCAACUGCUAGGGAAAAUGUUUUUCGUUCGUUAUCUGGAAUCGCCGCGAAAUUAGCUUGAAGGCAUCAAAUCCUUUGUGAAUGUUUUUUUCUAUGACGCUUCAGUCUAUGACUUUGCAACAUAGUUCGUUUCGAUACUGCUAAAAUUGAAUUGUUUUCGUGUUUGGCUUACCUACAUUAAUUUUUCCGAAAUUUGUCGUAUUGUUAGUUGUCUUUCGUUUGAAUAAAAUAACAACCUUUGCUUGUGGAUAAAUAAAACGAGUUAAUAACUUA
RNAcentral lists this long non-coding RNA (2587 nucleotides) under Daphnia pulex (common water flea). RNAcentral's name for it is "uncharacterized LOC124198192". The record is from RNAcentral. Lineage: Eukaryota; Metazoa; Arthropoda; Branchiopoda; Diplostraca; Daphniidae.